RNAcentral lists this ribosomal RNA (466 nucleotides) under uncultured bacterium. RNAcentral's name for it is "partial 16S ribosomal RNA". It matches the Rfam family "Bacterial small subunit ribosomal RNA", at positions 28 to 507 of the family's 1533-position model. The record is from RNAcentral.
GAUGAACGCUGGCGGCGUGCUUAACACAUGCAAGUCGAACGGAAAGGCCCAAGCUUGCUUGGGUACUCGAGUGGCGAACGGGUGAGUAACACGUGGGUGAUCUGCCCUGCACUUCGGGAUAAGCCUGGGAAACUGGGUCUAAUACCGGAUAGGACCACAUUUUGGAUGGUGUGGUGGAAAGUUUUUCGGUGUGGGAUGAGCUCGCGGCCUAUCAGCUUGUUGGUGGGGUAAUGGCCUACCAAGGCGUCGACGGGUAGCCGGCCUGAGAGGGUGUACGGCCACAUUGGGACUGAGAUACGGCCCAGACUCCUACGGGAGGCAGCAGUGGGGAAUAUUGCACAGUGGGCGCAAGCCUGAUGCAGCGACGCCGCGUGGGGGAUGACGGCCUUCGGGUUGUAAACUCCUUUCGCUAGGGACGAAGCGUUAUGUGACGGUACCUGGAGAAGAAGCACCGGCUAACUACGUG